AACCCCUGGCAAUGGGCAAAGAGGCACCUCAUUGGUGGUGUUACUCUUAUAUCAGUCGGGGGCAGAGUAGACUGACAGCCCUUUGUUCAUCCUAGCUUGAUGCCUGGGUUGGUGGCCAGAGCUGUUUCAUGCCUAGGGCACAGAA
Otolemur garnettii (small-eared galago) is the source of this 145-nucleotide small nucleolar RNA. Lineage: Eukaryota; Metazoa; Chordata; Mammalia; Primates; Galagidae. The record is from Ensembl.